This 501-nucleotide ribosomal RNA is filed under the name uncultured bacterium. RNAcentral's name for it is "partial 16S ribosomal RNA". It matches the Rfam family "Bacterial small subunit ribosomal RNA", at positions 30 to 523 of the family's 1533-position model. The record is from RNAcentral.
AUUGAACGCUGGCGGCAGGCUUAACACAUGCAAGUCGAGCGGAGAUGAGGUGCUUGCACCUUAUCUUAGCGGCGGACGGGUGAGUAAUGCUUAGGAAUCUGCCUAUUAGUGGGGGACAACAUUCCGAAAGGAAUGCUAAUACCGCAUACGUCCUACGGGAGAAAGCAGGGGAUCUUCGGACCUUGCGCUAAUAGAUGAGCCUAAGUGGGAUUAGCUAGUUGGUGGGGUAAAGGCCUACCAAGGCGACGAUCUGGAGCGGGUCUGAGAGGAUGAUCCGCCACACUGGGACUGAGACACGGCCCAGACUCCUACGGGAGGCAGCAGUGGGGAAUAUUGGACAAUGGGGGGAACCCUGAUCCAGCCAUGCCGCGUGUGUGAAGAAGGCCUUAUGGUUGUAAAGCACUUUAAGCGAGGAGGAGGCUACUGAGACUAAUACUCUUGGAUAGUGGACGUUACUCGCAGAAUAAGCACCGGCUAACUCUGUGCCAGCAGCCGCCGUAA